Molecule: transfer RNA, 40 nt
Filed under: Paeonia lactiflora (Chinese peony)
Lineage: Eukaryota; Viridiplantae; Streptophyta; Magnoliopsida; Saxifragales; Paeoniaceae
Also listed under: 6 other names
Description: partial tRNA-Phe
Source: RNAcentral
GUCGGGAUAGCUCAGCAGGUAGAGCAGAGGACUGAAAAUC